RNAcentral lists this ribosomal RNA (253 nucleotides) under uncultured bacterium. Its description in RNAcentral is "partial 16S ribosomal RNA". It matches the Rfam family "Bacterial small subunit ribosomal RNA", at positions 524 to 776 of the family's 1533-position model. The record is from RNAcentral.
UACGUAGGGUGCGAGCGUUAAUCGGAAUUACUGGGCGUAAAGCGUGCGCAGGCGGUUUUGUAAGCCAGAUGUGAAAUCCCCGGGCUUAACCUGGGAAUGGCAUUUGGGACUGCAAGGCUUGAGUGCGGCAGAGGAGACUGGAAUUCCCGGUGUAGCAGUGAAAUGCGUAGAUAUGGGGAGGAACACCGGUGGCGAAGGCGACCAUCUGGACGGAUACUGACGCUGAGACGCGAAAGCGUGGGUAGCAAACAGG